GAUGAAGGAACGCAGCGAAAUGCGAUACGUAAUGUGAAUUGCAGAAUUCAGUGAAUCAUCGAGUCUUUGAACGCACAUUGCGCCCCCUGGUAUUCCGGGGGGCAUGCCUGUCCGAGCGUCAUUGCUGCCCUCAAGCACGGCUUGUGUGUUGGGCCCCCGUCCUCCUCCCGGGGGACGGGCCCGAAAGGCAGCGGCGGCACCGCGUCCGGUCCUCGAGCGUAUGGGGCUUCGUCACCCGCUCUUGUAGGCCCGGCCGGCGCUUGCCGACACAUCAAUCUUUUUUCCAGGUUGACCUCGGAUCAGGUAGGGAUACCCGCUGAACUUAAGCAUAUCAAUAAGCGGAGGA
RNAcentral lists this unclassified non-coding RNA (346 nucleotides) under soil metagenome. RNAcentral's name for it is "partial contains 5.8S ribosomal RNA, internal transcribed spacer 2, and large subunit ribosomal RNA". The stretch from base 1 to 121 matches the Rfam family "5.8S ribosomal RNA", at positions 35 to 154 of the family's 154-position model. The record is from RNAcentral.